GUUGACCUCGGAUCAGGUAGGACUACCCGCUGAACUUAAGCAUAUCAAUAAGCGGAGGAAAAGAAACCAACAGGGAUUGCCCCAGUAACGGCGAGUGAAGCGGCAACAGCUCAAAUUUGAAAUCUGGCCCCAGGCCCGAGUUGUAAUUUGCAGAGGAUGCUUUUGGCGCGGUGCCUUCCGAGUUCCCUGGAACGGGACGCCAUAGAGGGUGAGAGCCCCGUACGGUUGGACACCAAGCCUUUGUAAAGCUCCUUCGACGAGUCGAGUAGUUUGGGAAUGCUGCUCUAAAUGGGAGGUACAUUUCUUCUAAAGCUAAAUAUUGGCCAGAGACCGAUAGCGCACAAGUAGAGUGAUCGAAAGAUGAAAAGCACUUUGAAAAGAGGGUUAAACAGCACGUGAAAUUGUUAAAAGGGAAGCGCUUGUGACCAGACUUGCGUCCGGUGAAUCACCCAGCUCUCGCGGCUGGGGCACUUCGCCGGCACAGGCCAGCAUUAGCUUGCCGUCGGGGACAAAAGCUUCAGGAACGUGGCUCCUCUCGGGGAGUGUUAUAGCCUGUUGCAUAAUACCCUUCGGCGGGCUGAGGUACGCGCUCCGCAAGGAUGCUGGCGUAAUGGUCAUCAGCGAC
Molecule: ribosomal RNA, 625 nt
Filed under: Colletotrichum godetiae
Lineage: Eukaryota; Fungi; Ascomycota; Sordariomycetes; Glomerellales; Glomerellaceae
Description: eukaryotic LSU rRNA
Rfam family: Eukaryotic large subunit ribosomal RNA
Source: RNAcentral